GGUCACAUGAGGUCUCUGUGAGGUCAGAGUGGUCUCUUUGAUGUCAGGGAGGUGUCUUUGAGGUCAGGGAGGUGUCUUUGUGAUCAGAGAGGUCUCUUUGUGCUCACUUGAUGUCUCUGAGUUCAGUGGAGGUCUCUGAUGCCACUGAGGUCUCUGAGGUCAGGGAGGUCUCUGUGAGCUCAGGGGAGGUAUCUGUGCAGUCAGGGGAGGUCUUUUAGGUCAGGGAGUUCUCUUUUAGGUCAGGGGAGCUCUCUCUGAGGUCAAAGUGGUCUAUCUGAGUUCGCAGGAGGUCUCUGCUAGCCCAGAGGACAUCACUGUGAGGUGAUGUGAGGUCUCUGUGUCAUCUGAGGGAAUCUCUGUGAGUUGUGGGGAGGUCUCUGUGAGGUCAAAGGGUUUCUCAGUGAAGUCACGGGAGGUCUUUGUGAGGGCACAGUUGGUCUCUGUGAGGUUAGGGAGGUCUCUUGAUGUGAGAUGGGGUCUCAGCAAGGUCAUGGAGGUCUCUGUGAGAUCAGGGGAUGUCUCCGUGUGUCAGAGUGGGUCAUCAUCAGGGCAAGGGAGGUAUGUGUAUGGUCAGAGGGGCUAUCUGCAAGGUCAGAGGAGGCCUCAGUGAAGUCAGAGUGCUCUCUGUGAGGUCAGGGGAGGUCUCUGUGUGGUCAGAGCAGGCCUCUGUGAGAUCAAGGAGGUCUCUGUGAGGUCAGGGGGGUCUCUGGUUAGAGGGGGUCACUGUGAGGUCAGGAAGGACUUUGUGAUGUCAAAGGUGGUUCCUGUGAUGUCAGAGGAAGUCUCUGUGGGGUCUCUUUGAGGUCAGGGUGUGUCUUUAUGAAACCAGAGGAUGAGUUUGUGAGGUCAGAUGGCAUCUCUUUGAGAACAGAGGAGGUCUCUGUGAGGCCAAAUGGGGUCUCUGUGAAGUCAGGGGAGGUCCCUGUGAGGUCACAGUAGGUCUCUGAGGUCAGCUAAUGUCUCUUUGAUGUCAGAGGAAGUCUUUGUGAUUUCAGAGGAGUUCUCUGUGUGGUCACAGGAGGUCUCUAUGAGAUCAGGGAUGUCUCUGGGGUCAGGGAGGUCUUUGAGUUCAGGGGAGGAAUCUAUGAUGUCAGGGGAUGUUUCUGUGUCAUCACCGGGGUUCUCUUUGAGGUCAGAGAAGGGGUCACUGUAGUCAGAGGUGGUCUCUGAGGUCACUUGACAUCUCUAUGAGAUCAGAUGGGGUGUCUGUGAUGUUGGACAUCUCUGUGAGGUCAGGGGGAUGUCUCUGUGAGGUCAGAGGGGGUCUCUAUGAGGUCAGCGGAGGAUGUGACAUCAGAGUAGGUCUCUUUGAGGUCAUAGGAGGGCCCUUUGAGGACAGAAGGGGGUCUCUGUGAGGUCUUGGUAGGUCUCUGUGAGGUGAGAGGGUUUCUUUGUGAAGUCAGGGGAGAUCCAGGUGAGGUCAGAUGGGGUGUCUCUGAGGUCAGGCGAGGGCUCUGUGAGGUCAGGAGAGGUCUCUCUGAGUUCAGAGGGCAUCUCUUAGAUUAGGGGAGGUCUCUGUGAGGUAUGAAGAUCCCUCUCCCCACCACUGCCAAGACAAUCAACCUCCCUUGGGACACAGGGCAUGGCUAGCAAGGACCCAGAUGAAGCAGGCACUACCUCCCAUGUCGGGCACAUGACACACCCAGGGGCUCCCUCCCCCAGCAGGGCCAAUGACACCUCCCAGAAAACCUUCAGGACUCAGGGCCCUUUCCUCUGUCCUUGCCCCACUGACAGAGUCUUGGCCCAAAUAAGUGGGACAGUCAGCCUCCUUUGGGUAUAUCAGGCAAGCCCUAGGGUGGUCUCCCUCCGCCCCUCCUCGGUGGACUCAGGGAGAGGGCCAGGAGAGGGCUUCUCUCAGCCCUUCUUGUCAGGUAUCUCCCAAGGGGAGCACCCUAGGCGGAAGGAAUGCGGGCUUUCCUCAGUCCAGAGUGGAGGAUGGGAACCGCUGAUGGAAGAGCAUGCCUGUGGGUUUCCCCUUCGUUCCCUGGGUGGCAUGCCUGUGCUGCCACACUCCUUUGGCAAGCCUUUCUCAGCCUUCUGACUUGACACAGCUUUCCCAACUCCUGGGGAAGAAAGGUUCAUUUGUGAUGAGAGGCUGUGUUUUUUCCAGCAAUAAGUGAGGAUGGGGAUGAACCAGCUGACACAGGGAGAGUCUUGCUGCCCUUCUGGGUCAGUUGGGAGCAAACAGGGCCAGAAAACCUCUUCCAAGGAGGAAAGCAGCUACCUGAGCAGAGAGGGGAAGGGGUCAUGAGAAGCCCUGAAGGAAAUGGGAACCCGAGUUCCCUGGCAGCUGCACGGGGCCUUCGCCAGAGGGUGCCCCCACCCCGCCAGAUCCCCCGGACCCAGUGCGGGGCUCCCAGCGAGGCCAGAGGCCGGACCCCUCCCUCCCACCCGUGCAUGCACAGUGGGAGGAAUGGUCCUCAGGCCAGGGAGCAGGGCUCCCACAGUCGUGAGAGUCAGUCAGAACCGUAGGUCAGGUCGGGGAGGUAGAGAGGCCAUGGGUGCACCUGCCCUCCUCUCCUCAGGUCCCCAAGAUUCUGGAUGCCCAGGUGGCAGCCGACGAAGCCAAUGUCCAGCCGUCCCUACAGGUUUUUCUCCCACCGCUGCCCUGCAAGGCGCAGGGAAGGCCAGACAGGGUGCUGAAAGGCAGUUUCCAGGCGUCAUCCGUGGCCUCCAACCUGGAUCUGGGUGCAGGAGGAUAGCAUCCGACGGGGAAGGCGGGGCAUGACAAAAUCCGUGCGGAAGAUCCCCGAGGGCCGCUCCUGGAGACGAUGAUGCUGGCCACCACCCAUCUCGACCUUGAGGCGGCUCCCUCCCCCAGACUUGGCCAGAGGUGGCCCGUUCCAUAAGGCCACCACCCAGGGAUCUCUGACUCUCUCAGGGAAACCCAGGCAACUGUGGAAUGCCCCCUUCACCGCAGGCAUCCCUCAGGCCAAGGCCAAGACUAAGUCUGGCAUCCUCCCUGGGGAGCCCAGGCAGGGCACUAAGGACCCAGGUGUGGCGGGCAGCAGCUCCCAGGUCGGGCACACCAGAAUUCCAGCAGCUUCUACCUCUGAUAGAGCUGAUGACCCUUCACGGAGAACUUUCUGGACCCAGGGCUCUUUCCUUCCUAGCAGUCCCAUGGACACCAUCUUGGCUCGAGGGGCUGCGUUGGCUGGCCCUCUUUGGGAAAGUCGGCAAGCUAUGGGGUUCUCCUCUCCCUCUGCCCCAGAGUGGCAUGUGGGUGGGUCCUCCCAGUGCAAGCACUUACCUGGGGGGAUGCCCCAUCCGUUACCUAGGUGGCCAGUCUGCUGUGCCGCUCUUCUUCGCAAGGAGCUCCAGGCCUUCUGACAGACUAGGCACAGUCUUCCCUCCUCCUGGGGUAGAAAUGUUCAAAGGUGAACUAGGGUCCACCUUUCCUUCUCCUGUUUCUCACCUCCCCUUCUGACCUUCGGCUCAGGUGGCUGCUGGCCUUCUCAUGGGGGAGGCCUUCUGACCCUGUUUUCCAACAACAACUAGGGGAGGACACCCAGGCUGUCUCUCUGCCAGCUGGCUCAUUCCAGGCCUCAGUGACUGGUAGAAAAAUCACAGCCCCACAUCACAAAUGAACCCUUUGACUCCAGGAGGAGGAAAGGCCCUGUCUAUUCAGAAGUCCCAGAAUGCCUUGCUCAGUAGUGUGGCAAGGCAGACAGGCCACCUAGGGAGCAAACCAGGAGCCCUCCAUGCGAGUUCUUCCCUCAGCAGGACUCACCCUCAGCUCCAGGAGUCAGACAAGCCUGAUGUCCUGCUGCCUGGGGCACUACCCUUUCCAGAAAUCCUAGAAUAAGGGCGGAGAGACACCUUCUCCUGGCUCUUUCCCUGAGUGCACAGCCACAGGGCAGAGGGGGAGGCGCACUCUGGCUUGCCUGCUUUCCUUCAGCUGUGUUUCACAUCCCCUUCCCCCGUUCCACUCAGGUCACUGCUGCCUCCUUGGAAGAGAUUUUCCAGCCCUGUUUGCUCACAUCUGACCCAGAAGGGCAGCAAGACUCUCCCUGUGCCAGCUGGUUCAUCCCCAUCCUCACUUAUUGCUGGAAAAAACACAGCCUCUCAUCACGAAUGAACCUUUCUUCCCCAGGAGUUGGAAAGGCUGUGUCAAGUCAGAAGGCUGAGAAAGGCUUGCCAAAGGAGUGUGGCAGCACAGGCAUGCCACCCAGGGAACGAAGGGGAAACCCACAGGCAUGCUCUCCUAUCAGCGGUUCCCACCCUCCACUCUGGACUGAGGAAAGCCUGCAUUGCUGCUGCCUAGGGUGCUCCCCUUGGGAGAUACCUGACAAGAAGGGCUGAGAGAAGCCCUCUCCUGGCCCACUCCCUGAGUCUACUGAGGAGGGGCAGAGGGAGACCGCCCUAGGGCUUGCCUGAUAUACCCAAAGGAGGCUGACUGUCCCACUCAUUUGGGCCAAGACUCUGUCAGUGGGGCAAGGACAGAGGAAAGGGCCCUGAGUCCUGAAGGUUUUCUGGGAGGUGUCAUUGCCCCUGUUUUGGGAGGAAGCUCCUGUGCAUGUCAUGUGCCUGACAUGGGAGUUUUCAAACUGUUCCUGGAUGAGACACAGAGAAGGACGGGUGGCAGCUGAGCUCCUGACAAUGACACAACAGUUUCCAACCACUAGGUACUUUACCUCCAACAUGGGACACGACAACCAGCAAUGGUUCUUCCUGGCACAGAGGGACAUUCAGCUUGAAAUAGUCCACAUACCGGUGUGGCACAUCUUGGAGCAGCCUGCCCUGAACCCCAUCAAUAGGAACCAAUCAUAUAAAAGAUCCAAGAAGAAGCUGAAUGAGAAACAUGUCAGAUUUGUGGGAGAAAAAACUAUGAAACAACAAAAAAGUGUAUAAAAUAGUACAAAAUAAAAUGAGUAUUAUUCCUAGGUAACUAGGAAGAGAAUGUUAUUGUGAGUGUGAAUUGUUUCUAAAUUAAUGUUAGUUGAAUGCAAUUCCCAAAAAAAGCACUUUUCCUGACUCUUCACCAGCUAAUACUAAACUACAUAUGGAAGAGUGAAAGAGCAAGGAGAACAAAGAAUUCUUGGAGUGAACAAAAAUAAGAGGGUCCUGCAAUACAAGUUAUGAAAAAAUAUUCUAAGAUUAUUAUUGUAUUGGUACAAGAAUGUGUGUUAAGAUCUACAAGACAUACUAUUGAGUCAAAAAAAAUAAGCUUCAGAGUAAAUUCUGUACACAAAUGUUAAUCACGCAAUCAAAAGUCAAAAAAAAUUUAAGGAUAUGCAUGUGCUUAUAAAACUGAUCUGAAGGAUCAGUGUUUGUGCUUGGGAGUGCAUCUGGGAAAGAAACUAGUGGCACUUUCUGGCUCCUCUAAGCUUUGGAGUUACUCAGGGCUCUGACCUGGACCCCUUCUUUCUCUGUCUCCAUACUUGGUCUAGCUCACCUCACCCAGUCAGAUGGUUGGCUGUGUGCAUUAGCUAUGUGCUAAUGAUGUCCAAAUCCACAUCUCCAGCUUUGGAGCUGCAGACCCAUCCAACUAACCAUUUCAUUGUCUCCAAGGAGGUCAAAUAUGUGUUUCCAAUGUAAUAUGAGAAAAACAACUCAAGAUUCCUCCCAUGCCCAACUUACUUCUCUCCGGUAAUUUUCAUCUCAGCAGACGGUACCACAAUCCAUGAAAAUACAGAUAGUAUCCAUGGUUCUUCUAUCUCCCUCGUCCACCACAUCUACUCAAUAUAUCUCACCUACUAAAUCUGCAAAAUGACCACGUCCCUCUAAUGCCAACACUGCCAGGCUAGUCCCAGGGACUGUCAUAUCUCCCUAAAAAACUGCAAAGACAUCUUCUGACCUCUCUGCUUCCACUCUUCUACAUCUACUGUCCUCAAUGGGUGGCACAAUUGUUUAAAAACAUCAGUAUAACUAUUUCACCUACCCUUUUAAACUCAUGCAAAUGGACUUUUGUUUCUGGCAAUAAGAGGGACUAGAUUUCUUCUGAGAUGUUUCCCAUUGUAUUUUCCUAAGUGAUGAUACAGAAAAAAAAUUAAUUUACUACUCUGAUGAUACAAGCAAAGAAAAUCCAGAGAAGCCAGAAAUUAGGAGACAGUGUGAAUCCAGAAAUAUAUUUCAGAAUUGACUCUGGGUCUUGGGAGCAAUUCUGGUCUAUGCAAGCUGAGAGGCAGGCAUUUUGUGUGUGUGGUAAAAUAUACAUAACAUAAAAUUCACCAUAUUUAAGUAUACAGUUCAGUGGCAUUAUAUACAUUCACCUUGUUGUGCAAUCAUCACCACCAUCCAUCUCCAGAACUUUCACCACUCAAACUGAAACUCUGUAUCAAUUAAACACUGACUCUCCAUUCCCUCCUCCCCCAGCCUCUGGUAACUACUGUUCUACUUUCUGUCUCUGUGAAUUUGACUAUUCUAGGUACCUCAUAUUAAUGGAAUCAAGCAGUAUUUGUCCUUUUGUGUCUGGCUUCUUUCACUUAACAUAAUGUCUUCAAGGUUCAUCCAUGUUUUAGCAUGUAUCAGAAUUUCCUUUCUUUUUAAGACUGGAUAAUAUUCCAUUUUAUGUACUGUUGAUUUAAGAAAAUAAAAAAGGGGGUUAUUCAGGAAUAGCAGAGGAAUUACAAUUCAGGACAAGCAAACGAUUGCAAAAGACAUAGGCAAGUCCAGCACACAAAGGAGAGGAAUGCUAUUUUAUAGAGAAAGAGGAGUGAUUUGGGAGGGUUUGAUUUGAACAAAAGUCCAUUGGUGGAAAGCGAGAGUUCACAGUGAUGAUUUCUCAUUGGCUGAGUUGCUGGGGUAGUCAAUUUCUUGUUGGGAAUGCAAUGGACAUCUUUUCCUGUUGGGGUCUGUAAUUGAUGAUUCUUCUUGUAAUUGAUAUCAAGUGGUAGCACAUGAGGGCUGCCCCUUCUGGCCUCCCAAUAUCAUUUCAAAUGAGGUUUCCUUUAUUCUGUUUCACAGUAUAUACAGUAUUUUAUUUAUCCAUUCAUCCAUCAAUGGACACGGGUUGUUUCAAUCUUUUGGCUAUUGUGAAUAAUGGGGCUGUGAACAUUGGUGUACAAAACUCUAUUCGAGUCCCUGCUUUCAAUUCUUUAUAUGUAGAUAGAUAGAUAGAUAGAUGGAUCUCCAGAAGUGGGGUUGCCGGAUCAUAUGAGAGUUCUAUGUUUAACUUUUUGAGGAACCCCUACAUUGUUUUCCACAGCAGCUGCACCUUUUCACAUACCCACCAGCAGUGCACAAGGGUUCCAAUUUCUCCACAACCUUGCCAACACUUGUUUUCUGUUUUUUGCACAGUAGUCAUCCUAGGGAAGUAGUAACUCAUUGUGAUUUUGAUUUAUAUCCCCUUAAAGAGUAGUAACUGUUGAACAUCUUUUCAUGUGCUUAUUGGCCAUUUGUAUAUCUUCUUUGGAGAAAAGCCUAUUUAAGUUUUCUGCCGAUUUUUAACCUUUUGUUGUUGUUGUUGGGUUUUAGUAGUUCUCUAUAUAUUCUGGAUAUUAAUUCCUUAUCAUAUAUGUGAUUUACAAAUAUUUUCUCCUAUUCUGUGGGUGAGAGGCAGGCAUUUUACAGGCUGUGUCCACAAGGCAGGAAAUAGACCAAUGUGGAGAAAGGAUCAGACCUUUCUUGCAUGAAGUCAGGAACCCAGUGGAUGAGCCAGAAAAAUCUCGAUCCAGAGAAGGAGGAUUAGGAAUUCUUCCUUUACCAUUUUUAUUCACCAAAAGGAAUAAAAUAAAACCCAACUGUCUCCCACUUCCCAUAUAACAAACUCACUCUUAGUUUUAGGUUAGAAUUAACACUACCUUUGUGGACUAAAAAUGUUAGUUUACGUGUACCAAAUUUGAAGAUGUCUAACAGAAAACAUAAAAUUUAUUCUACAGGAAUGUACUUUAAAACAAGUUUUUUCUAUUGAAAAAACUUUUAAGGAAACAAUCCAAAGCCGGUCAAUAUGUUAAUAAAAGAUGAGAACAAAAAAAGGAAAAACAAAGCAGAUCCUCAAGACGGAAAAUUGAAAAUGACAAAAUCUAUAUAUUUACUGUCUCAUUUUCAAAAGACUGUAUUGACGUCAAGAUGAAAGAUUACCAAAAAGGUACAAUUGAAAAGAACCAAAUAAAACUUGUAGAAUUGACACAUCGCUGAAAUUAUAAACUCAGCUAGUGGGCUAAGCACAUACAAAAGAAUUAAUGAACUGGAAGCCAGAUUUGAAGAUAUUAUCAACUGUGCCGCAGGGAUAAAAAGAUGGAAAAUGUUAGUGUAAAACUCUCCGUGGAAUUUCAAAGCACUUAUAAACUUGUGCUCACUUCCAAGGCCUAUUGGGGUGGGAAUCUUUCUUUUCUUCCUCAUUGACCUCAUUUGGUAGCAUCUUCCCCAUACCUUAUAAGCUUCAUUCACUCUUGUGGAACAUGUUGCAACAGUUAACUUUAUGUGUCAACUUGAUUGGGCCACAGGGUGCCCCAUUUGGGUGAACAUUAUUCUGGGUGUGACUAUGAGGAUAUUUUGGGAUGAGAUUAACAUCUGAACUGGUAUUGAGAAGAGUAGAUUGCCCUCCCUAAUGUGAGUGGGCCUCAUCCAAUCAAUUGAAGAUCAGAACAGAACAACAAGGCUGAGCAAGCGGGAAGUCCUUCUCUCUGUCUGGCUGUCUUCUCCUGUCUUGGUCACACAUAUGUGAGCCAAUUUCUUAUAGUCUCUUUCUCUGACAUCCUCUUCCUAUGUAUAUUUCCUACUGGUUCUGUUUCUCAAGAGAACUCUGAUUAAUACACACGCAAUGUCCCUAUCCUGACUUAGUGCCAUUGAUUCAGUUCUUUCUCUACCUUGGGACAUUUUUCCUGAUCUUGGCCUGACUGAUUAUUCUUGCUAUGAAGAUUUCAGUUAGGGCACCUCAGAGAGGUCUAAAGUUACCAUGUCACCAAUUGCUGUCCCUUCACAGCUCAGCACAGCGGCUAUCUGAUCCAUCCUUAUUUGUGUAUUGAUCCCUUGCUUUGUCAUGGUCUCCCUCCCUCAACUAGAAUGUAAGCUCACAUAGCAGGCCCUGGAGCUCUUAUUCAUUUCUCUCCAUCAUGGAACUGAACUGUUCCACAUUGGAGUGAAUGACAUUUGUCCUUUUGGUUGUGUGUGCCCAAAAUAAAGGCGGGUCCUUGACAACCCUGCUCUCUCACCCACACCUCUGCUCCCUCUCCAUCACAUCCCCUGUGAUCUCCUCUGGAGAGCUGUGUUGUCUGGUCAUGUCUUCAGGGAAGAUUUUACCUGACCUCCAGAAUAAUUCUAAUCCCUUUAGUUCAUGCUUUCAGGACAGCAGUUUCUGUUCUGUAUAAAAGGAGAUGGGAGAAGCAAGUUUUAAAAUGAGAGAAUUCAAUACUAUAUUAGAGCUACAAGUCACAAAGGGGUAUUAGGCAUUACAUAGCAAGGAUGAAAAGAGCAAAUUAACAAUCAAAUGGUGAGUGGGAGGGGGCAGAAAAUAUAUCAUGCCAUUCCUUUCUAUCUUGUAAGCUUUCUGCUGAAAAGUCAGCCGAUAACCUUACGGAGUUUCCUUUGUACGUCAUUUGUUGCCUUUCUCUUGUGGCUUUUAGGAUUCUCUCUGUCUCUUUAACUUUGGACAUUUUAAUUAUGUGUCUUCGUGUGGGCCUGUUUGGGUUUAUCUUGUUUGGUGAUCUCUGUGCUUCCCAUACAUGGAUGUCUGUUUCCUUCCUUAGGUUAGGAAAGUAUUCAGCUAUCGUUUCUUCAAAUAGAUUCUCUGUCCCUUUGUCUCUCUCUUCUCCUUCUGGGACACCUAUAAUAUGGAUGUUAGUGCACUUGAUGUUGUCCCAGAGGUCCCUUAGACCGUUCUUGUUCUUUUUAAUUCUUUUUUCUGUCAUCUGUUCAGCUUGGGUGAUUUCCUCUAUUCUUUUUUCUGUCAUCUGUUCAGCUUGGGUGAUUUCCUCUAUUCUUUGGUCCAGCUCGCUGAUCUGUUCUUCUGUAUCACCUACUCUACUAUUGAGUUCCUCUACUGAUUUUUUUGCUUCCAGUAUUGUAUUCUUCAUUUCUGAUUCAUUCUUUUUAUAUAUUUUCCAAUUCUUUGUUGAUAUUCUCACUGUAUUCAUCCAUUCUUCUCCCAAGAUCAGUGAGCAUCCUUAUGACUUUUUGCUUACAGUCUUUGUCAGGUAGAUUGUUUAUUUCUGUUUCAUUUAGUACUUUUUCUAGGGUUUUGCCUUGUUCCCUUGAUCAGAAUGUACUCCUUUGCUUCCUCAUUUUGCCUCUUUCUUAGCAUAUAUAGCUAAGUAUCAGGUGGGUCAGCUAUGUCUCAAGAUCUUGGAGAAGUGGCUUUAUGUAGGAGACACAUUUUCAGGCCCAGCAGUGUGCUUCCCUCUUGUCACCAGUUCCAAAUGUUCCAGGUGUGAACCUUGUGGGCUACAUGUGUAUUUCUGUUGUGGUGGUAGAGUUGCUUUUGCUGCAGGUGCCCAGGGAGCCUAGCCUGUCCCCCGGCCAGCUGGUUGUAAUGCUUAGCUGCAUGUGGCUGGUAUGGACCCUUCAAUCUGUUUACCAGGGUUGAGGAGCCCCCAGCACAGUUGGAUGCAAGAUGUAAUAGCGCACUCCUGUUGAAGUUUUCUGUUAAGUGGGUAGAUGCCCAGUGUGGCCGGUUGUGAGGCUCAGGUGCUUAAAACUGCUGCAGUCCUCUUGCUUGCACCGCUGAUGUCAGCUCUGUCAGGAUUGCAGCUGAGUGGGCCUGGCCCCAGGCACAGGACUACCCAAUUGUUUCAGGCCUUGGAAGGCGGUGCCAAUCCACUAUGUGGCUGUUUGAGAAGCACAGGUCUUCUACCUUGAUAAGCCCCACAGCCCACAUGUCCACACCCACUUUCAAGACAGUGCUGGCACAUAUACACAUCCAGAUCACCUGGAGCAGAUCCAGUUUCCCCACUGCAGAGGCCCACACACACUCAACCAAUGCCGCACACACUCCACCCACUCCUCAUGCCCACCCUGCCCUGCAGAGGUGGACCCACUCACGUGACUGCAGAAGACCCAGGCACACAGUCUAUGCAGGCCAAAAUGUUGCUUUAGGGCUUGCGGUUGGGUGGGGCCAGUCUCUAGGGUGGGCUGUCUGCCCUGGCUGAGCUGGAUUUAUUCUACACUCUAGUGGGUGGGGCAGACUCUGGGCUAACAGGCCAGGGGAAGAACUCCACUGGCAUCUGGAGCAUCUGUGUCAGCACACCUGUACUAGGUCAUAAUAAUGGCUACUGUCAAUGUCCCCGUCACUGGAGAGGUCUUACGUCUCACAGAGAUGCACCCAGAGCCUAUCAGGUGAGUCUCUUUUCACCAAAGGACUUUAUACCUUUCUUUCUGAAUUUAGGUUGCUUCCCAAAACAGGGAAGUUUGUGUGUGGGCCCUUUAAAAGCAGACUUUUUUGCCUCUUCUGUCCAGUAACUUUUCUAGUGGUAUUCCCCGUUGUAGUUAAUAGCCAACAACAUCAGAUAUUAUGACACUAUUUUCAGUUAUGCUAAAUGUAAAGGAUGCUUUAGGGGUAACAAUCCCCGUCAGGUCCCCCACUCCUCCAGGGAAGGCUGUACACCUUAGGACUGCUCCUAGCUAGCUGUGAAGCUCUGCAGCUCAGGAAGUUGGCUCUUUUUCUCUCAGACAGGAAAUUCUGGCUCUUCUGGCUCAGUCAGGAAAGUCUCAUGAAGCAGGGGUUCUUUUUAUCCACUUUUCAGUUCAAGUUGUAUCUUGGUUGUGUUUGUUGGAGGAGGAGAGUUCAAAGUCCCCCUACACCUCCAACAUGACCUCUCAAGCUGUGGCUCUUCCAGAUCAUCUUUGUAAGUGACUUUUAAUAGACAGCCAUUCAGUCUACACACAGGCUCUGAUCGCAUGUGAUGAAGGAAAACUAUUGCUGAGCUCAGCUUGCAAGGAGCUGGAAGUGACAUUUUCCCGGGAGAGCACUUAAGCAUUUCACUACAGCUGGGAGAAAAUAACUAUAACACGUUCAAGCAAAGUACAUUGUGCAGCAAAGCUCUGGCUUCUGGCUGUUUCAGAUCAUCUAGGUAAGUGCCUCACGUAUUGCAGUUCGUGGCCUUC
This 11982-nucleotide long non-coding RNA is filed under the name Equus caballus (horse). Its description in RNAcentral is "lncRNA (ENSECAG00000056631.1)". Lineage: Eukaryota; Metazoa; Chordata; Mammalia; Perissodactyla; Equidae. The record is from RNAcentral.